RNAcentral lists this ribosomal RNA (548 nucleotides) under uncultured bacterium. RNAcentral's name for it is "bacterial SSU rRNA". It matches the Rfam family "Bacterial small subunit ribosomal RNA", at positions 201 to 766 of the family's 1533-position model. The record is from RNAcentral.
UCAAAGAUUUAUCGCUUAGAGAUGGACUCGCGUCCGAUUAGUUAGUUGGUGAGGUAACGGCUCACCAAGACCGCGAUCGGUAGCCGGUCUGAGAGGUUGAACGGCCACAUUGGGACUGAGACACGGCCCAGACUCCUACGGGAGGCAGCAGUGGGGGAUAUUGCGCAAUGGGGGAAACCCUGACGCAGCAACGCCGCGUGAAGGAUGAAGGUCUUCGGAUUGUAAACUUCUUUUAUUAAGGACGAAGAAAGUGACGGUACUUAAUGAAUAAGCUCCGGCUAACUACGUGCCAGCAGCCGCGGUAAUACGUAGGGAGCAAGCGUUGUCCGGAUUUACUGGGUGUAAAGGGUGCGUAGGCGGCUUUGCAAGUCAGAUGUGAAAUCUAUGGGCUCAACCCAUAGCCUGCAUUUGAAACUGCAGAGCUUGAGUGAAGUAGAGGCAGGCGGAAUUCCCCGUGUAGCGGUGAAAUGCGUAGAGAUGGGGAGGAACACCAGUGGCGAAGGCGGCCUGCUGGGCUUUAACUGACGCUGAGGCACGAAAGCGUGGGU